This 1097-nucleotide long non-coding RNA is filed under the name Anas platyrhynchos platyrhynchos (common mallard). Its description in RNAcentral is "lncRNA (ENSAPLG00000021219.1)". Lineage: Eukaryota; Metazoa; Chordata; Aves; Anseriformes; Anatidae. The record is from RNAcentral.
CCACACACUCCGAGAGAGCCUGGGCAGACAGGCGAGAGAAAACAGAGGGGCCCCGAGCACAUACGUGUAACACACACACACUGAUGCGCCGGUUUCCACGGAGGGAAGGAAAUUCAGGGCACGGGAGCCAGAGCACGGCGAGUGUGCAAAACACAUCCACACCAAACGAGGAAGCCAUUUUUCUACUUUUAUUCCCACAAAUUAGCCCGGUUGUAGAGUUUGGCCGGAGGCUGUGCGCCUGAAACCAGCUUCUUCGGGCACUUUUGCCCGCAAUCGGCUCUUUGCAUCCUUGCGCUCCCAGGAGCCCGGCUGCGGGGCGCGGGCAGAGGGGUGGGCAGCCGCGGGUUGAGAGCCUCAAAAGGAAGGGAAGACUCUUCUUGUUAACCCCAGAGAACACAGCUGCUGGAAAAACCUGCUAAGCAAACCUUCGGUGAAACCACGGCUUUGCUGUCUGCUCUGAAUUCCUGGGAGUUUCGGGCUCUCCGGCAGAAUUUGCGAUUUGACUCGAAACGCAGCCCGGUGCCCUGUUCCCUUUGAUGCUUUAUCUCGCGAUUUCCACAGUGCUCAAGUGAAUUAGGAGCUAAAAGCCCAUUUUGAAAAAGUGAGGGGAGGCUAAAUUCAGCGAGAGAGUUGGGCAGAGCAGUAGCAGCCUCCUGCUGCUCAGGAUUGUGCCUGGGAACACAGCCCUCAGCCAGCAGAAGCAAAGCAGGGAGCUGCCGAGCCUUGCCCAUUGGCUGGAAACUGAAAGGUGUGCUGAGCAAAGCGGCCAGACACCCACAGAAGAAGGGGCGCUGACCCCCUGGUGCCUCUCCGUUUCAGACACGGAGGUGGCCAGAGACAGCAAGAAAAAGCGGCCGCCUAAAGAGCCUCGUGGUCAGGACACUCCUCGGAGCCGCAGGGCAAUCCAAAUUAAAUCCAGCAGAGCAGUGACUGGGAAAGAUCUUUUAUUGCUUGAAGCUGGCCCUGCUUCCCACCCAGCCAGGAUCAGAGGGAGAACAGGAAGGGGAGCUACUUGGAGUCGGUCCCCCUCGGGACACCAGGAAUGUGCAGCAAAGCCACCGUGCAAAGCUCCCCAUUUCAUCUCUGGGCACUGCUGA